This 67-nucleotide transfer RNA is filed under the name Paracoccus marinus. It matches the Rfam family "tRNA", at positions 5 to 66 of the family's 71-position model. Rfam says of the family: Transfer RNA (tRNA) molecules are approximately 80 nucleotides in length. RNAcentral also lists the same sequence under 5 other names. The record is from RNAcentral. Lineage: Bacteria; Pseudomonadati; Pseudomonadota; Alphaproteobacteria; Rhodobacterales; Paracoccaceae.
CCGUAGCUCAGCUGGAUAGAGCGCUGCCCUCCGAAGGCAGAGGCCAGGGGUUCGAAUCCCUUCGGGU